RNAcentral lists this ribosomal RNA (829 nucleotides) under Tetraploa hainanensis. RNAcentral's name for it is "Tetraploa sp. XT-2023a partial large subunit ribosomal RNA". It matches the Rfam family "Eukaryotic large subunit ribosomal RNA", at positions 91 to 936 of the family's 3401-position model. The record is from RNAcentral. Lineage: Eukaryota; Fungi; Ascomycota; Dothideomycetes; Pleosporales; Tetraplosphaeriaceae.
GAGUGAAGCGGCAACAGCUCAAAUUUGAAAUCUGGCCCCCUCGGGGCCCGAGUUGUAAUUUGCAGAGGGUGCUUUGGCGUUGGCGCCGGCCUAAGUUCCUUGGAACAGGACGUCAUAGAGGGUGAGAACCCCGUACGUGGCAGGCCGCCUCCGCCGUGUAAAGCCCCUUCGACGAGUCGAGUUGUUUGGGAAUGCAGCUCUAAAUGGGAGGUAAAUUCCUUCUAAAGCUAAAUACUGGCCAGAGACCGAUAGCGCACAAGUAGAGUGAUCGAAAGAUGAAAAGCACUUUGGAAAGAGAGUCAAAAAGCACGUGAAAUUGUUGAAAGGGAAGCGCUUGCAGCCAGACUUGCCUGUAGUUGCUCAUCCGGGCCCCGGCCCGGUGCACUCUUCUGCGGGCAGGCCAGCAUCAGUCUAGGCGGCCGGAUAAAGGCCCCGGGAACGUAGCUCCCUCCGGGGAGUGUUAUAGCCCGGGGCGCAAUGCGGCCAGCUUGGACUGAGGUCCGCGCAUCUGCUAGGAUGCUGGCGUAAUGGCUGUAAGCGGCCCGUCUUGAAACACGGACCAAGGAGUCUAACAUCUAUGCGAGUGUUUGGGUGUCAAGCCCGGGCGCGAAAUGAAAGUGAACGGAGGUGGGAACCCCUCCCGGGGUGCACCAUCGACCGAUCCUGAUGUCUUCGGAUGGAUUUGAGUAAGAGCAUAGCUGUUGGGACCCGAAAGAUGGUGAACUAUGCCUGAAUAGGGUGAAGCCAGAGGAAACUCUGGUGGAGGCUCGCAGCGGUUCUGACGUGCAAAUCGAUCGUCAAAUUUGGGCAUAGGGGCGAAAGACUAAUC